AUGCUACAUAGUUGGUUCUCAUCCUUCAGAGACUAUGAGUGUAAUAGAAGCAUCCGUCGACAAAAGGAUCACCCUAAGAUGAUCAUCACAUGGCUAUUGAGAACGAAUCAAAUCAAGCUAGAGUUGGACAAUUGAAGAAGAGCGGUCAUUCUAGUCAUGCCACAACAAUGAUGCUGUUUUGAAAUCUAAAUGUCACUAAGUCGGCCCUUGCCAGCUCUCUGCAUCAAAUUGGGAGAAUUAGUGCUUAUCGCUCACCACCUCACAGAAAAAGGGAAGUUGAAGUAUACUAUGGUGAGUCCACACCCUUGUGAAACAAAAAUUAUCAGCAGCUUGAAGAUUAGCCAGUCCAUCCCAAUGUUUAUGUGUUAGAUACCCAGGGAUUUUGCCUCCCAAAAUUCUCAACCUCGAGUCGCUUAGAGACAUCUUAGUCGGGGAAAAUUGUACAUUGUACAGUGCCUCUUAACUACUGUCAACUCAAAUGUGAUAAUUAUAAGAAGCUGUGACAGCUCGUUGGAGUGUUAGGGGGUAUCCAUCUGAUCACACGCAGGUAUAAGCACUAUCUGGUUUUUUUUUUAUUUUUUUUAAACUGAACCUAAUUCAUGCAAGUUAUUUGGGAAUUAGAUUAUUAGUGUACUAAUAAGAUACUAGAAUUUGAAUCUCCAACUUAAAAGGAAAGAAUACUAAACUAUACUUGACAUAUUGAUUUUGAAUUUUCGUCCUUUGGGAGACAAGCUUCUCAUUGAAUAAAUAGUUUGUAUCUCUUCCUUUGACUUAAAAAUGCGAAUUAAAGGUAAUUUCCUGAUAAGUUUGAGUAGUAGCUUUUUGAAAUCGACAG
Cucurbita maxima (winter squash) is the source of this 835-nucleotide long non-coding RNA. RefSeq lists it as uncharacterized. The transcript is spliced from 4 exons. NCBI's taxonomy places the organism in Eukaryota, Viridiplantae, Streptophyta, Magnoliopsida, Cucurbitales, Cucurbitaceae. The record is from RefSeq and is a predicted model, not a curated record.